AAAAAGAUAAGCUAAAUGAAGCUACUGGGUUCAUACCCCAUUUAUGAAAGUUUUAAUCUUUCUCUUUUUA
This 70-nucleotide transfer RNA is filed under the name Oberea diversipes. Its description in RNAcentral is "tRNA-Met". It matches the Rfam family "tRNA". From Rfam's summary of the family: Transfer RNA (tRNA) molecules are approximately 80 nucleotides in length. Their secondary structure includes four short double-helical elements and three loops (D, anti-codon, and T loops). The record is from RNAcentral. Lineage: Eukaryota; Metazoa; Arthropoda; Insecta; Coleoptera; Cerambycidae.